CAGGUGUGGCCACUAGCCUAUAUGAAGGCCCAAAAUUGUGUGUUCCUUUCUGCUCUGACAAUGGCAUGCCCAUUCGUGCGAGAUGUGGUGGAUGAAGAAGCACUUGUGCUGAGGAGAGCCUUCAGGCGAGAAAGGGUCUUCAGGGACCGGUUGGACCCACUGGCCUUCCCUGAUGACCAUCUAUAUGAAAGAUACAGGUUUUCUGCAGAUGGCAUCAGGUAUCUAUGCAGACUACUGGGUCCCAGGAUUAAGCACCGCACUGCACGGAGCCAUGCACUGAGUGUGGAGCAAAUGGUUUGUGUGGCCUUGCGCUUUUUUGCUAGUGGAGCCUUCCUGUACUCAGUGGGGGAUGCAGAACAGCUGAACAAGGCCACAAUUUGACGCACAAUAAGGAAUGUGUGUCUGGCUAUCAAAGCAUUAGCAGAUGUCUUCAUCUCCUUCCCUGGCCACAGAAGACUCUGUGACAUCAAAGAGGAGUUCUAUAGGAUUGCAGAUGGUCUGCAAUGCUGACUGUGUGAUCAGCAAUGUUGUGGCAAAAUGGCCUGGCUCAGUCCAUGACUCCAGAAUCUUUCGGGCCUCUGAAAUCUAUCAGUGCCUAUCACAAGGUGAAUUCUCUGGUGUGUUGCUGGGAGACAGGGGUAUGGCUGCCAGCCUUUUCUCCUGACACCUUUCACAGACCCCAGGAAGCACAGCAGGCCUACAACCAUGCCCAUGCCAGGACCAGGGCCAGAGUUGAAAUGACCUUUGGCCUCCUGAAGGCACGCUUUCACUGCCUUCACAAAUUAAGGGUCAGCCCUGUUAGGGCAUGUGAUAUUACUGUGGCUUGUGCUGUCCUCCACAAUGUGGCCUGCCUGAGGAAGGAGAGGGCCCCCAGAGUGCCACCAGCCAUGGACUGGGACAAUCCGGCAAUCUUCCCUGAUGACGACAGUGGUCGGCUGCUGAGGGACCAAUAUGUGUUGAAUUAUUUUAGUUUGUAUGUGUGCUUUCAAUUUUGGUUAAAUAUGUCCUGCGGUGGCAGAGGAAUUUGGUUUUUUGGGUUCGUUUUUUGACGAAUUUGGCCUCUUAUGAUGUUUGUGCGGUAUACUGUGUGUAAUACAAGGCUGCAGGGAGGCUACUGCAUCCAUUCAUUUGUCUGUUCAGUUGAUGUGUAUGGAGUUGUCCUGCAUUUAUUUUAGUGUGCAGACAUGCAGGGUGUGUUAUAUACAGACCUUUGAAUGUGUAUGUAUCAUUUUGUAUAAUAUGCUUGGAUUCUGUGCUUUCCAUCUUGUAGAGUCACUGUGACUUCAGUUUCGAAAGGAGCUGAUGGUUUACCUGCUUUGUUUUGUCCUUAUUCAAUAAAGGAACAUAAUGUUA
This is a long non-coding RNA of Oncorhynchus nerka (sockeye salmon), 1353 nucleotides long. RefSeq lists it as uncharacterized. NCBI's taxonomy places the organism in Eukaryota, Metazoa, Chordata, Actinopteri, Salmoniformes, Salmonidae. The record is from RefSeq and is a predicted model, not a curated record. The transcript has 3 exons.